ACCGGCGGCUCGAGUGGUGGCCACUAUUAUUGGGCUUAAAGCGUUCGUAGCUGGCUUGUUAAGUCUCUGGGGAAAUCCUCCAGCUCAACUGUAAUACGUCUUGGGGAUACUGGAAGACUAGGGCCCGGGAGAGGUGAGUGGUACUCCAGGGGUAGGGGUGAAAUCCUGUAAUCCUUGGGGGACCACCUGUGGCGAAGGCGUCUAACUGGAACGUAACUGACAGUGAGGAACGAAAGCUGGGGGAGCAAACCG
Molecule: ribosomal RNA, 252 nt
Filed under: uncultured prokaryote
Description: partial 16S rRNA
Rfam family: Archaeal small subunit ribosomal RNA
Source: RNAcentral